This 63-nucleotide transfer RNA is filed under the name Kurthia massiliensis. It matches the Rfam family "tRNA", at positions 6 to 65 of the family's 71-position model. From Rfam's summary of the family: Transfer RNA (tRNA) molecules are approximately 80 nucleotides in length. Their secondary structure includes four short double-helical elements and three loops (D, anti-codon, and T loops). Lineage: Bacteria; Bacillati; Bacillota; Bacilli; Caryophanales; Caryophanaceae. The record is from RNAcentral. RNAcentral also lists the same sequence under 4 other names.
AUUAGCUCAGUUGGUAGAGCAUCUGACUUUUAAUCAGAGGGUCGCUGGUUCGAAUCCUGCAUG